RNAcentral lists this ribosomal RNA (434 nucleotides) under uncultured bacterium. RNAcentral's name for it is "partial 16S ribosomal RNA". It matches the Rfam family "Bacterial small subunit ribosomal RNA", at positions 28 to 507 of the family's 1533-position model. The record is from RNAcentral.
GGCGAACGCUGGCGGCAGGCCUAACACAUGCAAGUCGAACGAACCUUUCGGGGUUAGUGGCGUACGGGUGAGUAACACGUGGGAACGUGCCUUUAGGUUCGGAAUAACUCAGGGAAACUUGUGCUAAUACCGAAUGUGCCCUUCGGGGGAAAGAUUUAUCGCCUUUAGAGCGGCCCGCGUCUGAUUAGCUAGUUGGUUGAGGUAAUGGCUCACCAAGGCGACGAUCAGUAGCUGGUCUGAGAGGAUGAUCAGCCACAUUGGGACUGAGACACGGCCCAAACUCCUACGGGAGGCAGCAGUGGGGAAUCUUGCGCAAUGGGCGAAAGCCUGACGCAGCCAUGCCGCGUGAAUGAUGAAGGUCUUAGGAUUGUAAAAUUCUUUCACCGGGGACGAUAAUGACGGUACCCGGAGAAGAAGCCCCGGCUAACUUCGUG